CUUGUUCCCUUGGCAUCCCGGUUCCUUUGAGGUCCCCGCUGUGGAUUCCUGGUUCCAGAACAGCGAGGUGGCCUGGCGAGCAGUGCGGGAACACCUUCGAAAAAGCGUUCACUGAUACAAACAACAGGUUAACUGACACCGCCGCACCUUGCUUUUCCAGCCCGUGCAACAGGUAUGGUUGUCCACCAGUGACAUCUGCCUGAAGCUGCCCUCCAAGAAACUCAGCCCCUGGUUUAUAGGUCCCUACAAGAUCCUUCGUUGAAUCACCCCGGUCAUCUACCUGUUACAGCUGCCUCCUCAUCUACACAUUUGUCCCACGCUUCAUGUCUCCCUUCUCAAGCACUACAGUACCUCUCUGCUCCAAGCCACCCGGGGCGACCCGACGCCCCCUCAGGUGGAUGUGGAUGGGGUACUGGAUUCCAAGCACCAGCAUGGGGGUCUGUAUUACCUUGUGGACUGGGAGGGGAAUGGUCCUGAGGAGCACAGCUCGGUGCCGGCUAGUGAUAUCCUCAAUCCGUCCCUCAUUGCCGAUUUCCAUUGGAACCAUCCAGAUAAGCUGGCGCCUUGUCCCAGAGGCCGCUCCCCUUCCAUGCAUUGCAGGGCAGCUGGAGCUACCCGUAGGGAGGGGGGUACUGUCAUGUCCACGCCCGCACCACAGUCGACAGCACCUGACACCAAUCAAGCACCAGACCAGAGCACUCCCCUUUAAAAGACCCCUCUCAGCCCCUUUGUACUUGCGGAAUCUCACUGAGACAACCGUCCCAUCUGCGCCUAUGUCCCACACUUCUUCGCCCCUAGCUCUUAGUCUUCACUCCCCAGAUUCUGACCAUUCGACUCAUCCCCUGACUACAUCCAUGGAUCAUGGCUCCAACUCUGACCUCCAACCGAAUGACUAUUUGCCCAUCCCCAUCAACGAGAAGUCACCUGACCCCUUGGUUUCUGAUGAACGAUCCUGCACUUGGGUCCAGACCUCCCUGCGACCUUGGUUCUGUGUGACAGGUGUAGAGUGCAUCUAUUUCUUCUGGGGUUUUUGUUUAAC
RNAcentral lists this long non-coding RNA (1039 nucleotides) under Scleropages formosus (Asian bonytongue). Its description in RNAcentral is "lncRNA (ENSSFOG00015026245.1)". The record is from RNAcentral. Lineage: Eukaryota; Metazoa; Chordata; Actinopteri; Osteoglossiformes; Osteoglossidae.